This is a long non-coding RNA of Eriocheir sinensis (Chinese mitten crab), 1390 nucleotides long. RefSeq lists it as uncharacterized. The transcript is spliced from 2 exons. The record is from RefSeq and is a predicted model, not a curated record. NCBI's taxonomy places the organism in Eukaryota, Metazoa, Arthropoda, Malacostraca, Decapoda, Varunidae.
UCCAACUCUUGUUUGUCAGACUCACUUUGGGUUGAUAUACAUCUACUGAAUACUCUGAGGGCAACUGCCAACUGAGUGGCGAACGACUGGAGCACUCUUGCUGCUCGUUCGCAUUCCGCCUUUCACUACUGAGGCGCAGCGAACCAUUUGCUACACUUCCGCUUCUCGUUGGCCUGCGAAGCUGCUCGACGCCUCGGUCGUACGAACCACCGAGGCUUCUCAAGCCUCGUGUGCCUCCUUAGCAGCGAUACUUCAUAAAGCAGCUUUUGGACAAGUCAACAGAGCCAGGAACGGGUCAUCCUUCAAGUACCUGUACCUCCACGGGCUUCUCUACAAGAAGUGCCUCACCUCCCAGCUUUCCAACAAGAACCACUUCCCCGAGUCGCCAUCGACCUCGUUGAACCCUUGUCUCCACCAGCUACGAAAGGACCUCUUGUCAUCCCCGUUCCCGUAGUGGAUGAGCCAUCACCUGGCGCCAGCUCCACUGAACUUCCCAUCGUUGAACCACUUAUGGACUACCAGGAUGUACCCUCCACCCCGUCUAGCUGUACGUCAACGAUUCAGCAGGACAUCGUCCGGGUGUUGAGAUGGGCCUUGAGUCUACCGGUCUACAGGUACCGGGUCGUCCAUAUGGCAGAGAAGGAUAAUGUGGGGCCAGAUUUAUUGAGUAGACUUCCUGCAUAAGUCACUCCUCCUGUGUCUCCUCGCCAGUUUCCCCCCUGUUUUAGUUUAUUGGUUUAUAUUCUUUUUCUUUUCCAUUUGGUAGUUGUUUGUUGGAUCUACCUGGAGUAGAUUCUUGUAUGGGGGCCUGUGUGAGGGCAACCACCAACUGAGUGGCGAACGACCGGAGCACUCUUGCUGCUCGUUCGCAUUCCGCCGUUCAACUUCGGAGGCGCAGCGAACCACUUAAUACACUCCCGCUUCUCGUUGGCUUACGAAGCUGUUCGACGCCUCGGUCGUACGAACCACCGAUGCUUCUCAACCCGCUGUGGGCCGCCAGCGUCUUCAUCUUCAGACAGCAGCUGGACCUCGCCCUGAACAUUUGAUUCGGCUCCUGCCAGCUCUGCUCUCAUGCGGGUUUACUCAGAACCGUGGGCUUGUUCUGGGUGCCUCACCUCGCUCCUCUGCCCGCUCGAACUCCUGUUACUUCCGUGACCCUGACGCCCCUUCUCCUCCUGCGCCUCCCUCGUCUACCACGUCUACACCACGUCAAGGACGAAGUUUUGCUACCUCGUCACUGCCACUCUGAGGACGGGACGCCAGAAGAGGAAGAAGCCGUGCAAGGAUCAUUGCUGAGUCCGGCGUGCUGCAGCCUUCAUGUUGGAGACUUCAGUGUUUGAGGCUGUUGUGGGUUUCUUUACUUUAAUUAAAGUAAAUUGGUGUCUAACCA